GGGGCAGUAGCUCAGUUGGCUAGAGCACCACGUUCGCAACGUGGGGGUCGAGAGUUCGAAUCUCUUCUGCUCCACCA
Molecule: transfer RNA, 77 nt
Filed under: Lentisphaerota bacterium
Lineage: Bacteria; Pseudomonadati; Lentisphaerota
Also listed under: 3 other names
Description: Lentisphaerae bacterium (anaerobic digester metagenome) tRNA-Ala
Rfam family: tRNA
About the family: Transfer RNA (tRNA) molecules are approximately 80 nucleotides in length. Their secondary structure includes four short double-helical elements and three loops (D, anti-codon, and T loops).
Source: RNAcentral